This is a non-coding RNA of Mus musculus (house mouse), 46 nucleotides long. Lineage: Eukaryota; Metazoa; Chordata; Mammalia; Rodentia; Muridae. The record is from Rfam.
CAAACGGCUCUUUUCAGAGCCACCCACAACCUCAUUCAAAAGAGCU